UGCCAGCAGCCGCGGUAAUACGUAGGUGGCAAGCGUUAUCCGGAAUUACUGGGCGUAAAGCGCACGCAGGCGGCUCUUUAAGUUUGACGUGAAAGCUCCCGGCUUAACUGGGAGAGGUCGUUGAAGACUGGAGAGCUUGAGGCAAUGAGAGGGGUGUAGAAUUCCCGGUGUAGUGGUGGAAUGCGUAGAUAUCGGGGGGAAUACCAGUGGCGAAAGCGGCACCCUAGCGUUGUACUGACGCUCAUGUGCGAAAGCGUGGGGAGCGAACGGGAUUAGAUA
RNAcentral lists this ribosomal RNA (279 nucleotides) under uncultured bacterium. RNAcentral's name for it is "partial 16S ribosomal RNA". It matches the Rfam family "Bacterial small subunit ribosomal RNA", at positions 506 to 784 of the family's 1533-position model. The record is from RNAcentral.